AACGAACGCUGGCGGCAUGCCUAACACAUGCAAGUCGAACGAGACCUUCGGGUCUAGUGGCGCACGGGUGCGUAACGCGUGGGAACCUGCCCUUAGGUUCGGAAUAACUCCCCGAAAGGGGUGCUAAUACCGGAUAAUGUCUUCGGACCAAAGAUUUAUCGCCUUUGGAUGGGCCCGCGUUGGAUUAGCUAGUUGGUAGGGUAAAAGCCUACCAAGGCGACGAUCCAUAGCUGGUCUGAGAGGAUGAUCAGCCACACUGGGACUGAGACACAGCCCAGACUCCUACGGAAGGCAGCAGUGGGGAAUAUUGGACAAUGGGCGAAAGCCUAAUCCAGCAAUGCCGCGUGAGAGAGGAAGGCCUUAGGGUUGUAAAGCUCUUUUACCCGGGAUGAUAAUGACAGUACCGGGAGAAUAAGCGCCGGCUAACUCCGUG
RNAcentral lists this ribosomal RNA (433 nucleotides) under uncultured bacterium. RNAcentral's name for it is "partial 16S ribosomal RNA". It matches the Rfam family "Bacterial small subunit ribosomal RNA", at positions 29 to 507 of the family's 1533-position model. The record is from RNAcentral.